RNAcentral lists this long non-coding RNA (1526 nucleotides) under Macaca fascicularis (crab-eating macaque). RNAcentral's name for it is "lncRNA (ENSMFAG00000049066.1)". Lineage: Eukaryota; Metazoa; Chordata; Mammalia; Primates; Cercopithecidae. The record is from RNAcentral.
UCAUUAGUGGCUGGCAGUAAAGCACAGAAACGAGUGGACAUUGGCACAGGCUGGCUUUCUGUUUCUGGAGAAGGCCAAAAAUAAUCUCAGUAGAUUUAAUUAAAACUGCAGUGAACAGAUGGGGAAGAUGGAAAGAACUCCAACUGGAGACCACUCAUCUGUCUAGGUCUCUGCGAGCGUUUUAAUGAAGCCUUCGCUGUCUGCAGGUCCCAGUCCUGACACAUCCCUUUCUGGUUAUGCAACCGAGCGGAACGAUUACCCAGCAACUCCACUUAAAGCGGCAGGGGCCUGUUUCCCAAGGAAAAGGAUGGCUUGACUCAAUCCAACUACUCCCAAAGUAAAGCAACAAGCCUACAAACGAACAACCUCUCUGUCCUAUCUUGAUCUAAUCCUAAAGUGGGAACAGGUAAUUGGGCGCUCAGUGAAGUUCUCCUCCUACAGAGGGCUAGUGGUGGUGGCCGUGAGGGGUUCAGGGAGAAGGGAAUCCAGCAGCCGUCUCGUGAUUUAAACCUCUAGGUCCAGCUAAAACAAAGCAGUCCUGUUCAAAUUGGGUCAGUGGUCUGCCCUAGUUAGUGGCUCCUUUCACAGUUUUCUACAGUGCAGCAAGCCAAGGGAGAAUGGCAGGAGACGGUCCUAAUUCACCAUGAAAGUUAAAACCCAGCCUGUGUUAAAGUUAAAACCCAGCAUGCAUGCACUCUUUCCUGAUUGAUUGAUUUUAAUGGAAAAGCCCAAACUUCUGGUGCUAAGAGCAAAACAGGAGUUCAAACGUUGCUUGUACUAUGUAGGCCAAAGUACAGAGAGGGCCAGGUCUGCUUGUAAAUAAACUUGGCACAAUGAAGACGGCUUCUGAAGCUAUGUGGAAGUUUGCAAUCAUCAAGAGCAAGGAGAUCUUUAGAAAAAGACCUACGGGUAGAAACUCCAAGGGAUUCUAUUCAAAGAUCAUUGGCACAUGGAGCCCAGAGCUCUCCCUGCAGGGACCUUCCAGGUGUCUUCUGAAUGUGAAAUACCUUUUUAAAAAAAGACCUUUUUUCAGAUGUUAGCAGAGAUUGGCAUUGCUGGUCUCUUUUCAACUUUUAAAAAAUAUAUACUCCCAAGAAAGCAAGGGUAAGAUGCCCCCUUACACAGCCCUUGGGGAAUGUCAGACGGUAAAGACCUUGUUGGUAAUUCCCCAACUGCUAUGGGGGUAGGGGAACAGGAUUAGAUCUUGGCAGCCUGUUGCUGAGGCACAUUUUAAGGAAAAUGGAAAAUGCCAUAGUAGAACCAUGACCUCUUCCCCAGGCCUCCCAACUGCACAGCCAAGCUCACAGACAUACAUCUUCAUGGAGAAACAGGGGCUACUUCAAUGCAUAGCCCCCAAAUUUCAGUGAGAUCUGGAUGAUGCAAGACAUGUUUAUUUACCAAGAAAGACCAGGAGUGUAUGGAACCACAAAACAUAAUUAAUGCAUUCUUUGGAGAAAACCAAGCAUUUUUCAACUAAGUUCCCCUUAAAACUAGUUAUGCAAUCGUGUUAAAAAAAAAAAAAAAAA